GUGCCUAAAACUAACAGUAAGGAAAACCGUCCAACCUUGCUAACUGCUUGGUUGAUGUGCUUCUAGGCAGUAGAGUUGGGGCAUUGCUCUUUUGCAGUGUUUUGGCUCUAUGAAGCGCCAAUUUUUGAGUGGGCACAGGUCGUCCCUUCGAACUCAUGCGCUCACUACUUUUCGAGUCGUAGAGUUUGGGUGAAGCGAUCUGCCCU
Rhagoletis pomonella (apple maggot) is the source of this 206-nucleotide small nuclear RNA. RefSeq annotates it as U12 minor spliceosomal RNA. The record is from RefSeq and is a predicted model, not a curated record. The transcript has a single exon. Lineage: Eukaryota; Metazoa; Arthropoda; Insecta; Diptera; Tephritidae.